This 391-nucleotide transfer-messenger RNA is filed under the name Anaerolineae. RNAcentral describes it as "JAAZBQ01 sp012513725 Standard tmRNA". It matches the Rfam family "transfer-messenger RNA". From Rfam's summary of the family: Bacterial tmRNA, also known as 10Sa RNA or SsrA, is named for its dual tRNA and mRNA-like properties. Lineage: Bacteria; Bacillati; Chloroflexota. The record is from RNAcentral. RNAcentral also lists the same sequence under 1 other name.
GGGGAUGACAGGCUUCGACAGGGAGGGCUGGUCAGCGACUGCAGGCCGAGGUGCCUCACCCUCGAUAAUCAGGGGCAAAACAAUAAGUGCCAAUAACACUUAUGCUCCGGCUUACGCAAUGGCCGCCUAGGCGACCUAACGUAGCCAACUGAUCGGCAAAGCCGGUCACGUCCGCCUCCUUGCUUUGCCCGAGAGCGGGAGAGCGGGCGUCGAACAAGUCGGGAUGCGGUCGGCGCGACGUCGAUACCGUCGACCAAAGAUCCAUCGACUGGCCGAGCAGGAACUCUGCUAGACGAGGUCCGCCCGGUAAGAACCAAAGGUCUGGCUAAGCCUGUAGUAUGUCUCUGGUCGAACUCUUUGGACGCGGGUUCGAUUCCCGCCAUCUCCACCU